GACGAACGCUGGCGGCGUGCUUAACACAUGCAAGUCGAACGGAAAGGCCCUGCUUUUGUGGGGUGCUCGAGUGGCGAACGGGUGAGUAACACGUGAGUAACCUGCCCUUGACUUUGGGAUAACUUCAGGAAACUGGGGCUAAUACCGGAUAGGAGCUCCUGCUGCAUGGUGGGGGUUGGAAAGUUUCGGCGGUUGGGGAUGGACUCGCGGUUUAUCAGCUUGUUGGUGGGGUAGUGGCUUACCAAGGCUUUGACGGGUAGCCGGCCUGAGAGGGUGACCGGCCACAUUGGGACUGAGAUACGGGCCAGACUCCUACGGGAGGCAGCAGUGGGGAAUAUUGCACAAUGGGCGGAAGCCUGAUGCAGCAACGCCGCGUGCGGGAUGACGGCCUUCGGGUUGUAAACCGCUUUCGCCUGUGACGAAGCGUGAGUGACGGUAAUGGGUAAAGAAGCACCGGCUAACUACGUG
Molecule: ribosomal RNA, 468 nt
Filed under: uncultured bacterium
Lineage: Bacteria
Description: partial 16S ribosomal RNA
Rfam family: Bacterial small subunit ribosomal RNA
Source: RNAcentral